GAUGAACGCUGGCGGCGUGCCUAAUACAUGCAAGUCGAGCGAACGGACGAGAAGCUUGCUUCUCUGGUGUUAGCGGCGGACGGGUGAGUAACACGUGGAUAACCUACCUAUAAGACUGGGAUAACUUCGGGAAACCGGAGCUAAUACCGGAUAAUAUUUUGAACCGCAUGGUUCAAAAGUGAAAGACGGUCUUGCUGUCACUUAUAGAUGGAUCCGCGCUGCAUUAGCUAGUUGGUAAGGUAACGGCUUACCAAGGCAACGAUGCAUAGCCGACCUGAGAGGGUGAUCGGCCACACUGGAACUGAGACACGGUCCAGACUCCUACGGGAGGCAGCAGUAGGGAAUCUUCCGCAAUGGGCGAAAGCCUGACGGAGCAACGCCGCGUGAGUGAUGAAGGUCUUCGGAUCGUAAAACUCUGUUAUUAGGGAAGAACAGAUGUGUAAGUAACUGUGCACAUCUUGACGGUACCUAAUCAGAAAGCCACGGCUAACUACGUG
This 497-nucleotide ribosomal RNA is filed under the name uncultured bacterium. RNAcentral describes it as "partial 16S ribosomal RNA". It matches the Rfam family "Bacterial small subunit ribosomal RNA", at positions 28 to 507 of the family's 1533-position model. The record is from RNAcentral.